RNAcentral lists this long non-coding RNA (1534 nucleotides) under Cricetulus griseus (Chinese hamster). Its description in RNAcentral is "lncRNA (ENSCGRG00015040311.1)". Lineage: Eukaryota; Metazoa; Chordata; Mammalia; Rodentia; Cricetidae. The record is from RNAcentral.
GUCCCGGGUGGCGAAGACACGCGCUGAUUGGGCGACAGAAGCUACUUUCUCUUCCCAUCCCUGACAGUGCCCAGGCCUCCACCGACCCGGAGGGGGACCAGCUCUGUGCCCCUUUCCUGAGAAAGAAGGGUAGACAGCACUCUCGGGUUCACAUGCCACCAACCCAUCUCCACCCAGAAGUCCCGACGGAUCUUGAGAGCACUGAGCGGACACAGCAGCUAGAACAUUUCUAAAGCUCCAUGGCGAAGGCCAAGGCGAGAGUGGGAGCAGAAUUACUUUGAAUUCCGAGCUUGGGAACGGGAGAAUCACGAGCGUAACUCUGAACAGAUGAAAACUGACCAUCUUGGACAAUGAAACGAAGAAGCAGCCAGAGAGACGCCAGAAUUUAGCGCGUGCAACUGCAGCGCAAGCGCCGCCGGCAAGGCCCUCUCAAAGUCAUCUUGCAGAUAGCUGUCCUGGGUCCGCGUGGUGGCAACUCAUUAAAGUCACUGUGGAAGGUUUGCCCCUUCUUGAGACAGAGAAAAAAAAAAGCUUCACGAUGGGGUAUUCCAAUUCCCAGCAUAGAGCCAAGAGUCAAGACAAGUAGCCCCAAGAGGAAUGCGAGUCAGAGAGCCUUUCUUCUUUCUUCUUUUCUUUGCCAAACGAAAUCUAAUACUAUCUGGCUGCAAAAAUAUAUAUCACCGGCUCUGAGUCUGAAAGAUUAACAUUCGGAUACGUAGGAAAUGUAAUCUGCAUGGCUAAUUGAUUCUCAGCGUAUCAGUUUAAAGGAUAAAGAUCGAUAUCUGCAUAUGAUGGAUAUUGUAUUAAUAGGGACAUAAAUAAAGGCCGAAGAGUCGUUACCGAAACCUUUGAAGCUGCUUCCUGGCUCUGCCGCCCUUGUAGGGGCCACUCUGUCACCCCCACCUUCGGCAGAGCUGGAAGUACUGGCAGAGGGAGUGGAGUCAACAUAAGAACCAGGGAGGAUUUUUAAGCAGCUGAACUAUAGGGAGAGAAGGACACUUUUUCUCCAGGGCUAGUGGAGAUGGACUGUAAUGCGCACGGGGAGAUGGGGGUGAACGUACCACACCCGGACACCUAGAAACUCAGACACACUAACACUCAGGGGUGGGUUUCCGUGUAAACCUUAGUGUUAGGAAAAGGGAGCCAGCGCUUAUCCACCUCGGCCUCGGCUCCCAGAACACCUACCAAAGUCCUAGGAAAAGCCAGAAGUGGGUGAUUCUGGUGGGGGGUAGGGAUCCAGCUCGUGCCCUCUGGGAGGGUCGGAGGCAGCUCAAAAGGCUGGUGUCCUCCACAGGGAGCUGGCGAGUGCCCUCCGAGGCAGGCCACCUCUUCUGAAGAAAGAGAGGCUCAUCUAGAGCACAGGGUCUGGAGGGGAUUUAGAGGUGAGCCCCGGGAAUGGACCCUCCUAGUCAGCGGGGCGAAGAAAUGAAGGUGGAGUACGGGGAUCCCUACAAGAACCCCUCCACCCACUGAUUGCCAAUUAGCCUUGAGUGCUACUGGCCUGCUCCACAGCGGAGCUCGAGCUCACACUGCC